RNAcentral lists this non-coding RNA (22 nucleotides) under Arabidopsis thaliana (thale cress). The record is from RNAcentral. Lineage: Eukaryota; Viridiplantae; Streptophyta; Magnoliopsida; Brassicales; Brassicaceae.
UCAACUUCAGGGUAUUGUGUCU